Erpetoichthys calabaricus (reedfish) is the source of this 399-nucleotide long non-coding RNA. RefSeq lists it as uncharacterized. The transcript has 3 exons. NCBI's taxonomy places the organism in Eukaryota, Metazoa, Chordata, Cladistia, Polypteriformes, Polypteridae. The record is from RefSeq and is a predicted model, not a curated record.
CUCCAAGUUCAUAUGACAGACGCUCAGAUAUAAUUUUCGAUGACAGGCCUUGUUUUGCCAUCUCUAAAAUCACAUCUGAGUACUGUUCCAACGUCAUGAUGAUGGUCCAGUCUACACACCAGUGACCAGUUGACUCGUGUUUGCUACAAGUGGCGCAUUACCUGACCAGGUUGUUGACCUACAAAAACGUCCGGUUCAAAUAAAAUAAAUAAAGGCCGUUUUCUCGUUCUCGUUUCUUACAUUUUUCUUUUCUGAUGUGCGAAAGAACAACAGGAAAAAAAAAAAAGUAAUUGUUCUGCGUUUUUCAUUUUUCCCUUUUAAGUUGAAAAUCAAAUAAGUGUCUCUUUUUCUUUUUUAAAUGAUAUUUUCUGAAAUGAAAUUUCAAAUACCAAAAAGUAC